This 1062-nucleotide ribosomal RNA is filed under the name Myriospora rufescens. RNAcentral's name for it is "eukaryotic LSU rRNA". The stretch from base 512 to 1062 matches the Rfam family "Eukaryotic large subunit ribosomal RNA", at positions 1 to 552 of the family's 3401-position model. The record is from RNAcentral. Lineage: Eukaryota; Fungi; Ascomycota; Lecanoromycetes; Acarosporales; Acarosporaceae.
UAUGUGAACCUGCGGAAGGAUCAUUAUAGAGAUAGGGUCUUUCAGGCCCGACCUCCAACCCUGUGUCUAUUUACCUUUCGUUGCUUUGGCGGGCCCGCUGGGGAAACCCACCGGUGGCCUUGGCUGCUGAGCGCCCGUCAUGGAAACAUCAAAACUCGAUUAAUCAUGCAGUCUGAGUACCAAUACAAUAGUUAAAACUUUCAACAACGGAUCUCUUGGUUCUGGCAUCGAUGAAGAACGCAGCGAAAUGCGAUAAGUAAUGUGAAUUGCAGAAUUCAGUGAAUCAUCGAAUCUUUGAACGCACAUUGCGCCCCCUGGUAUUCCGGGGGGCAUGCCUGUUCGAGCGUCAUUGCACCACUCAAGCUCAGCUUGGUAUUGGGCCUCCGUCCCCCCGCGGACGGGCCUGGAAACCAGUGGCGGCACAGCCCGGCUUCAAGCGUAGUAACUAAAACCGUCGCUUUGGAAGUCCCGGGCCUGGGCCUGCCAGACAACCCCCAAUCUUCUUAAAGGUUGACCUCGGAUCAGGUAGGGAUACCCGCUGAACUUAAGCAUAUCAAUAAGCGGAGGAAAAGAAACCAACAGGGAUUGCCUCAGUAACCGGCGAGUGAAGCGGCAACAGCUCAAAUUUGAAAUCCGGCCCUCCCAGGGUCCCGAGUUGUAAUUUGUAGAGGAUGCUUCGGGUUCGGCUCCGGUCUAAGUUCCUUGGGAACAGGACGUUCACAGAGGGUGAGAAUCCCGUACGUGACCGGCCGCCACGCCCGUGUGAAGCUCCUUCGACGAGUCGAGUUGUUUGGGAAUGCAGCUCCAAAUGGGUGGUAAAUUUCAUCUAAAGCUAAAUACUGGCCAGAGACCGAUAGCGCACAAGUAGAGUGAUCGAAAGAUGAAAAGCACUUUGGAAAGAGAGUUAAAAAGUACGUGAAAUUGUUGAAAGGGAAGCGCUUGCAACCAGACUUGCCCGCGGGUGAUCAGCCGGUAUUGUUACCGGUGCACUCGCCCGUGGUCAGGCCAGCAUCGGUUUGGGCGGCUGGACAAAGGCCUCCGGAAUGUAGCUCCUAUUCGGGG